CCCUUAGAUGUUCUGGGCCGCACGCGCGCUACACUGAUGCAUUCAACGAGUUUUGUUUGUUCCUUGGCCGAGAGGCCUGGGCAAUCUUUUGAACUUGCAUCGUGAUAGGGGUAGAUUAUUGCAAUUAUUAAUCUUGAACGAGGAAUUCCUAGUAAACGCAAGUCAUCAACUUGCAUUGAUUACGUCCCUGCCCUUUGUACACACCGCCCGUCGCUCCUACCGAUUGAGCGGUCCGGUGAAGACUCAGGAGAUGGGCGCGUGCUUGGUUCGCCAACUGCGCUGCCUGCCAAAUUUGUCUAAACCUUAUCGCUUAGAGGAAGGAGAAGUCGUAACA
Molecule: ribosomal RNA, 334 nt
Filed under: uncultured eukaryote
Lineage: Eukaryota
Description: partial 18S ribosomal RNA
Rfam family: Eukaryotic small subunit ribosomal RNA
Source: RNAcentral